This 855-nucleotide ribosomal RNA is filed under the name uncultured fungus. Its description in RNAcentral is "LSU rRNA". It matches the Rfam family "Eukaryotic large subunit ribosomal RNA", at positions 77 to 966 of the family's 3401-position model. Lineage: Eukaryota; Fungi. The record is from RNAcentral.
GCCCUAGUAACGGCGAGUGAAGCGGCAACAGCUCAAAUUUGAAAUCUGGCUUCGGCCCGAGUUGUAAUUUGCAGAGGAUGUUAUGGUGCGGUACCUUCCGAGUUCCCUGGAACGCGACGUCACAGAGGGUGAGAGCCCCGUCUGGUUGGAUACCAGACAUGUAAAUCUCCUUCAACGAGUCGAGUAGUUUGGGAAUGCUGCUCUAAAUGGGAGGUAAAUCUCUUCUAAAGCUAAAUACCGGCCAGAGACCGAUAGCGCACAAGUAGAGUGAUCGAAAGAUGAAAAGCACCUUGAAAAGGGGGUUAAACAGUACGUGAAAUUGUUAAAAGGGAAGCGUUUAUGACCAGACUUGUGUCGUGUGGCUCAUCCGAGGUUCUCCCCGGUGCACUCCACACGGUUCAGGCCAACAUCGGUUCUCGUUGGGGGAUAAGAACAGUAGGAACGUAGCCCUCUUCUGCGGGUGUUAUAGCCUAUUGUACGAUACCCUGAUGGGGACCGAGGACCGCGCUUCGGCAAGGAUGUUGGCGUAAUGGUCAUUAGCGACCCGUCUUGAAACACGGACCAAGGAGUCGUCCAUUAGAGCGAGCGUUUGGGUGUAAAACCCGCACGCGUAAUGAAAGUGAAAUUAGGUGAGAGCUUCGGCGCAUCAUCGACCGAUCCUGAAGUUUACGGAUGGAUUUGAGUAAGAGUUUUAACGGACGGACCCGAAAGACAGUGAACUAUGCUUGAAUAGGGUGAAGCCAGAGGAAACUCUGGUGGAGGCUCGCAGCGGUUCUGACGUGCAAAUCGAUCGUCAAAUUUGAGCAUGGGGGCGAAAGACUAAUCGAACUGUCUAGUAGCUGGUUCCCGCCGAAG